AACGAACGCUGGCGGCAGGCCUAACACAUGCAAGUCGAACGCCCUCUUCGGAGGGAGUGGCAGACGGGUGAGUAACGCGUGGGAACCUUCCCUGUGGUACGGAAUAACUCAGAGAAAUUUGAGCUAAUACCGUAUACGCCCUUCGGGGAAAGAGUUUAUCGCCAUAGGAUGGGCCCGCGUCGGAUUAGCUAGUUGGUGAGGUAAUGGCUCACCAAGGCAACGAUCCGUAGCUGGUCUUAGAGGAUGAUCAGCCACACUGGGACUGAGACACGGCCCAGACUCCUACGGGAGGCAGCAGUGGGGAAUAUUGGACAAUGGGCGCAAGCCUGAUCCAGCCAUGCCGCGUGAGUGACGAAGGCCUUAGGGUUGUAAAGCUCUUUUGGCGGGGACGAUAAUGACGGUACCCGCAGAAUAAGCCCCGGCUAACUUCGUG
This 433-nucleotide ribosomal RNA is filed under the name uncultured bacterium. RNAcentral describes it as "bacterial SSU rRNA". It matches the Rfam family "Bacterial small subunit ribosomal RNA", at positions 29 to 507 of the family's 1533-position model. The record is from RNAcentral.